AGAGUUUGAUCCUGGCUCAGGACGAACGCUUGCGGCGUGCCUAAGAAAUGCAAGUCGAGCGGGGGAGCAAUCCCUAGCGGCGAACGGUCGCGUAACACGUAGGCAACCUGCCCGAAAGACCGGGACAACACUUCGAAAGGGGUGCUAAUACCGGAUGUGCCCGCCUUCCUGCAUGGGAGGGUGAGUAAAUCCCGCAAGGGGCUUUUGGAGGGGCCUGCGGCCUAUCAGCUAGAUGGUGGGGUGAUGGCCUACCAUGGCGACGACGGGUAGCUGGUCUGAGAGGAUGGUCAGCCGGACUGGGACUGAGAUACGGCCCAGACUCCUACGGGGGGCAGCAAUUAGGAAUCUUGCGCAAUGGGGGCAACCCUGACGCAGCGACGCCGCGUGGAGGAGGAAGGCCUUCGGGUUGUAAACUCCUUUUAGGGAGGAAGAAACAAAUGACGGUACUUCCUGAAUAAGCCCCGGCUAACUCCGUGCCAGCAGCCGCGGUAAUACGGAGGGGGCGAGCGUUGUCCGAAGUUACUGGGCGUAAAGCGCGCGUAGGCGGGUCGAUAAGUCCGCUGUGAAAGCCCGGGGCUCAACCCCGGAGGGUCGGUGGAUACUAUCGGUCUUGAAGUUGCUAGGGGGAGAUGGAAUUACCGGUGUAGCGGUGAAAUGCGUAGAUAUCGGUAGGAACACCAGUGGCGAAGGCGGUCUCCUGGGGCAAUCUUGACGCUGAGGCGCGAAAGCUGGGGAGCGAACGGGAUUAGAUACCCCGGUAGUCCCAGCCCUAAACGAUGGAUACUAGGUGUCAGGGGUAUCGACCCCCCUGGUGCCGCAGCUAACGCAGUAAGUAUCCCGCCUGGGGAGUACGGCCGCAAGGUUGAAACUCAAAGGAAUCGACGGGGGCCCGCACAAGCGGUGGAGCAUGUUGUUUAAUACGUCACUAACCGUAGAACCUUACCAGGGUUUGACAUCCGCUGCACCGGUGUGAAAGCAUCGUCUGGAGCAAUCCAGCGGCGAGACAGGUGUUGCAUGGCUGUCGUCAGCUCGUGUCGUGAGAUGUUGGGUUAGGUCCCGCAACGAGCGCAACCCUCAUCCCAUGUUGCCAUCGGGUGAAGCCGGGCACUCUUGGGAAACUGCCGGGGUAACUCGGAGGAAGGUGAGGACGACGUCAAGUCAGCAAGGCCCUUACACCCUGGGCUACAAACAUGCUACAAUGGACGGUAGACAGAGGGAUCCGAGGCCGCGAGGUGGAGGCAAUCUCAAAAAUCCGUUCUCAGUUCGGAUCGCAGGCUGCAACUCGCCUGCGUGAAGCCGGAAUCGCUAGUAACCGCAGGUCAGCUAAACUGCGGUGAAUACGUUCCCGGGCCUUGUACACACCGCCCGUCACGUCACUUGAGUUGUCUGCACCCGAAGUCGGUGGGGUAACCGCAAGGAGCCAGCCGCCGAAGGUGUGGGGAGCGAGAGGGACGAAGUCGAAACAAGGUA
RNAcentral lists this ribosomal RNA (1470 nucleotides) under metagenome. RNAcentral describes it as "bacterial SSU rRNA". It matches the Rfam family "Bacterial small subunit ribosomal RNA". The record is from RNAcentral.